GAUGAACGCUGGCGGCGUGCCUAAUACAUGCAAGUCGAGCGAACAGAUGAGGAGCUUGCUCCUCUGACGUUAGCGGCGGACGGGUGAGUAACACGUGGAUAACCUACCUAUAAUACUGGGAUAACUUCGGGAAACCGGAGCUAAUACCGGAUAAUAUAUUGAACCGCAUGGUUCAAUAGUGAAAGACGGUUUUGCUGUCACUUAUAGAUGGAUCCGCGCCGCAUUAGCUAGUUGGUAAGGUAACGGCUUACCAAGGCAACGAUGCGUAGCCGACCUGAGAGGGUGAUCGGCCACACUGGAACUGAGACACGGUCCAGACUCCUACGGGAGGCAGCAGUAGGGAAUAUUCGGCAAUGGGCGAAAGCCUGACGGAGCAACGCCGCGUGAGUGAUGAAGGUCUUCGGAUCGUAAAACUCUGUUAUUAGGGAAGAACAAAUGUGUAAGUAACUAUGCACGUCUUGACGGUACCUAAUCAGAAAGCCACGGCUAACUACGUG
This 497-nucleotide ribosomal RNA is filed under the name uncultured bacterium. RNAcentral's name for it is "partial 16S ribosomal RNA". It matches the Rfam family "Bacterial small subunit ribosomal RNA", at positions 28 to 507 of the family's 1533-position model. The record is from RNAcentral.